CAAGGUUGAGGUUCCCGAUCAAAAGUGUUCACAGGAACCAGACUACACUAUCGAGCUGCGGUCUGUGGAACCUUCCAGCUAUGAGAAACUUUGUCUAGAAAUAGAUGAAACCACUUGUAGCUGCAUCUGCCUGGAGAAUGCCUCCAGUGUGGACAAAGGGAACUCAACCACAGCUCCAAUUGUAACUACCGUGCUGGUGAGAGGGACGAUUGAUUCAAAUGUGGACGUGACCACCAGAGAUCCAAGAACCAUCAUCCUAGUUUUACUU
Boleophthalmus pectinirostris (great blue-spotted mudskipper) is the source of this 268-nucleotide long non-coding RNA. RefSeq lists it as uncharacterized. The transcript is spliced from 3 exons. Lineage: Eukaryota; Metazoa; Chordata; Actinopteri; Gobiiformes; Gobiidae. The record is from RefSeq and is a predicted model, not a curated record.